RNAcentral lists this ribosomal RNA (545 nucleotides) under uncultured bacterium. RNAcentral's name for it is "bacterial SSU rRNA". It matches the Rfam family "Bacterial small subunit ribosomal RNA", at positions 776 to 1319 of the family's 1533-position model. The record is from RNAcentral.
AAAUAGAUACCCUGGUAGUCCACGCCGUAAACGAUGAGUGCUAAGUGUUGGGGGGUUUCCGCCCCUCAGUGCUGCAGCUAACGCAUUAAGCACUCCGCCUGGGGAGUACGGUCGCAAGACUGAAACUCAAAGGAAUUGACGGGGGCCCGCACAAGCGGUGGAGCAUGUGGUUUAAUUCGAAGCAACGCGAAGAACCUUACCAGGUCUUGACAUCCCGGUGACCACUAUGGAGACAUAGUUUCCCCUUCGGGGGCAACGGUGACAGGUGGUGCAUGGUUGUCGUCAGCUCGUGUCGUGAGAUGUUGGGUUAAGUCCCGCAACGAGCGCAACCCUUAUUCUUAGUUGCCAUCAUUCAGUUGGGCACUCUAAGGAGACUGCCGGUGAUAAGCCGGAGGAAGGUGGGGAUGACGUCAAAUCAUCAUGCCCCUUAUGACCUGGGCUACACACGUGCUACAAUGGACGGUACAAACGGUUGCCAACCCGCGAGGGGGAGCUAAUCCGAUAAAACCGUUCUCAGUUCGGAUUGUAGGCUGCAACUCGCCUAC